This 104-nucleotide transfer RNA is filed under the name Morchella conica CCBAS932. It matches the Rfam family "tRNA". From Rfam's summary of the family: Transfer RNA (tRNA) molecules are approximately 80 nucleotides in length. Their secondary structure includes four short double-helical elements and three loops (D, anti-codon, and T loops). The record is from Rfam by way of RNAcentral. Lineage: Eukaryota; Fungi; Ascomycota; Pezizomycetes; Pezizales; Morchellaceae.
GGGGAUGUGGUUUAGUGGUAUAAUACCUCUUUAGCAUUGAGUACUCUCAUCCUGAGUAGUAUCUUGAAUAGAGGUGGUCCGGGGUUCGAUUCCCCGCGUCUCCA